GAAGGCUAGAAUGAAAGGUUGGACGAGGGAUGAGCUGUCUCCUUUACGUAAUUUGAAUUUAACUUUUGAGUGAAAAGGCUCAAAUUAUUUAGUGGGACGAUAAGACCCUAUAAAACUUUAUAUAAGUUUAAUUUGGCUUACAAUUUGAGUGAAAAGUAGCUUUAUUAGGUUUAUAUUUCGUUGGGGAGAUGUAGAUAUAAUGUGUAACUGUCUGUUUAAUUUAAUAAUUAUAAUUAGUGUGUGAUCCUUCUUUGUGGAUUAAAAGUAUAAGUUACUUUAGGGAUAACAGCGUGAUUUUCUUUGAGAGUUCUUAUCGACAAGAGUAGUUGCGACCUCGAUGUUGAAUUAAAAUUUCAGUUAGGUGUAGCCGUCUAGCUGGUAGGUCUGUUCGACCUUUAAAAUUUUACAUGAUUUGAGUUCAAACCGGUGUGAGCCAGGUUGGUUUCUAUCUAA
RNAcentral lists this ribosomal RNA (453 nucleotides) under Macrobrachium nipponense. RNAcentral describes it as "partial 16S ribosomal RNA". It matches the Rfam family "Bacterial large subunit ribosomal RNA", at positions 1982 to 2645 of the family's 2925-position model. Lineage: Eukaryota; Metazoa; Arthropoda; Malacostraca; Decapoda; Palaemonidae. The record is from RNAcentral.